This 505-nucleotide ribosomal RNA is filed under the name Klebsiella sp. MB-113. RNAcentral's name for it is "bacterial SSU rRNA". It matches the Rfam family "Bacterial small subunit ribosomal RNA", at positions 1 to 503 of the family's 1533-position model. Lineage: Bacteria; Pseudomonadati; Pseudomonadota; Gammaproteobacteria; Enterobacterales; Enterobacteriaceae. The record is from RNAcentral.
UUAGAGUUUUNAUCAUGGCUCAGAUUGAACGCUGGCGGCAGGCCUAACACAUGCAAGUCGAGCGGUAGCACAGAGAGCUUGCUCUCGGGUGACGAGCGGCGGACGGGUGAGUAAUGUCUGGGAAACUGCCUGAUGGAGGGGGAUAACUACUGGAAACGGUAGCUAAUACCGCAUAACGUCGCAAGACCAAAGUGGGGGACCUUCGGGCCUCAUGCCAUCAGAUGUGCCCAGAUGGGAUUAGCUAGUAGGUGGGGUAAUGGCUCACCUAGGCGACGAUCCCUAGCUGGUCUGAGAGGAUGACCAGCCACACUGGAACUGAGACACGGUCCAGACUCCUACGGGAGGCAGCAGUGGGGAAUAUUGCACAAUGGGCGCAAGCCUGAUGCAGCCAUGCCGCGUGUAUGAAGAAGGCCUUCGGGUUGUAAAGUACUUUCAGCGAGGAGGAAGGCGUUAAGGUUAAUAACCUUGGCGAUUGACGUACUCGCAGAAGAAGCNGGGCUACAAA